This is a non-coding RNA of Cricetulus griseus (Chinese hamster), 309 nucleotides long. The record is from RefSeq and is a predicted model, not a curated record. NCBI's taxonomy places the organism in Eukaryota, Metazoa, Chordata, Mammalia, Rodentia, Cricetidae.
AGGUGGAUCCCGAUAUUGUUCUUUAUGCCUCUGUUUCCAUCAGAAAGCACAGCUUCUCAAGGAGGGAAGUGAACAGCGGGAAUCAGACGGUGUCCUGGCCUGCAGCCAGCAUGUGGCUGAUCACCAAGACUGGGAUGAUCUUGAACAGAGCGAUAACUCAGGGAUGCCUGGCUAUUGGCCAUCCAGUCAGAGUUGAGACCACCCAGGGAACAUCACUAGAAGGAUAUAAAUUACUGCUACGGAAAAGACAUGAAGAAGAUGAGUCUCAGAAAUGGAUAUUUGGAACAGAUGGCUGUAUUUAUUCUAAGG